Molecule: non-coding RNA, 23 nt
Filed under: Cricetulus griseus (Chinese hamster)
Lineage: Eukaryota; Metazoa; Chordata; Mammalia; Rodentia; Cricetidae
Source: RNAcentral
AUAGAUCGUAGGAUAGCGUAGGC